GACGAACGCUGGCGGCGUGCUUAACACAUGCAAGUCGAACGGUGAAGCGCCUUCCUUUUUGGUGGGUGUGGAUGAGUGGCGAACGGGUGAGUAACACGUGAGUAACCUGCCCCCUUCUUCUGGAUAACCGCAUGAAAGUGUGGCUAAUACGGGAUAUUCUGGGUCUGUCGCAUGAUGGGUCUGGGAAAGAUAUUGUUUCGGUGGGGGAUGGGGUCGCGGCCUAUCAGCUUGUUGGUGGGGUGAUGGCCUACCAAGGCGGUGACGGGUAGCCGGCCUGAGAGGGUGGACGGUCACACUGGGACUGAGACACGGCCCAGACUCCUACGGGAGGCAGCAGUGGGGAAUAUUGCACAAUGGGCGCAAGCCUGAUGCAGCGACGCCGCGUGAGGGAUGGAGGCCUUCGGGUUGUGAACCUCUUUCGCCAGUGAAGCAGGCCUGCCUCGUUUGUGGGUGGGUUGACGGUAGCUGGAUAAGAAGCGCCGGCUAACUACGUG
This 494-nucleotide ribosomal RNA is filed under the name uncultured bacterium. RNAcentral describes it as "partial 16S ribosomal RNA". It matches the Rfam family "Bacterial small subunit ribosomal RNA", at positions 28 to 507 of the family's 1533-position model. The record is from RNAcentral.